AUGUCGUCAAAGGGCUAUAGAUCUGAAACCAGACUUCAACCCUUUUGUUUUACAGAUAAACAUGCAAAGUGCCAGGGAAAUGAAAUGAUUUCCCGGAGACUGCACAGAAGACCUUUAAGAUACCUUCCAACUAUAAGAUUCUACGGUUCUGUCAGAACAUACCAAUCCAUUUCAGAUGGAAGAAAUAAGCGAAAUGAGAAACAUGGGAUAUCUUUGUGGCCAGUGAACCAACAACUUAUGUCCAAGGAAUUGGGAGAGAGUUCAUUAUUUGUCAUUGGUUCACCAACAGAUGCAAUUACAGGUCCAGAGCCUGUUCCUGAAUUGUAAAAACAAAGACUCAGCUGGAAACCCUGAAGAGAAAUACAUCUUUUGGGAAAAUCCUUUCUCUGAUAUCUGUCUUACAAAUAAAGGAAUUAAGCCCCUUGUACCA
This 430-nucleotide long non-coding RNA is filed under the name Monodelphis domestica (gray short-tailed opossum). RNAcentral describes it as "lncRNA (ENSMODG00000034825.2)". The record is from RNAcentral. Lineage: Eukaryota; Metazoa; Chordata; Mammalia; Didelphimorphia; Didelphidae.